Molecule: long non-coding RNA, 1075 nt
Organism: Bombyx mori (domestic silkworm)
Lineage: Eukaryota; Metazoa; Arthropoda; Insecta; Lepidoptera; Bombycidae
Exons: 3
Source: RefSeq, a predicted model, not a curated record
GCCUACUGCUCGUAACGCAUAUGGUAGGUAUGGUUACCAUGUAUCCGUACGGACUCAAGAGGUCCUAUCACCAGUAGACCUAGGUACCACUGCCCCGCUUAUUUCUGCCAUGAAGCAGUAUUGCGUUUCGGUUUGAAGUGGGGCAGCCGUUGUAACUAUACUGAGACUUUAGAAUAUAGAUCUCAAGGUGGGUGGCGCGUUUACGUUGUAGAUGUCUAUGGGCUCCAGUAACCACAUAACAUCAGGUGGGCUGUGAGUUCGUCCACCCAACUAAGCAAUAAAAAAAAAUCUACACCUCGCCACCACAAAAGUCUUUAAUCAGUGCAUUCUCCCCGCGAUGACCUAUGGCGCGGAAACCUGAACACUGACGGCGGGGAUCGCCCAUAAGCUGUUAAGAGUCGCACAGCGGGCGAUGGACAGAGCUAUGCUAUUUCUCUAAGGGACAAAAUCCGGAACGAAGAAAUUCGACGGAGAACCAAAGCCUAUGACAUAGCUGUUAAAGCUAGCAGGCUGAAGUGGCAAUGGGCGGGGCACAUCUGUCGAGCCAGCGACACCUGGUGGGGGAGGAAAGGCUUCGUAUGGAGGCCACGGAUAGGUACCAGGAGCGUAGAGCGUCUUCCAACCAGGUGGACCGACGACUUAGUGCGCACGGCGGGAAGUCGUCGACUGUGAAGUCAUAGGAUGGCCGGGUUGUGACAUAUAUAUAUAUUUUAUAGUAAAACGACGAGCUCUGCGUGUGACUUGUUUUAUUGGCGGAAGUAGUCUGACUGUAUUGCCAUAGAUUAGGUACAUUCUUUACCUGACAUCUCCCCUUUUAAGUUAAAGACUAAGCUUAUUUUUAAGGUAUCACGGUUUCUUUGGAGACUGGAACUACAGGUUUUAGUAUGUGCUCCCGAUUUCUCCUGAAUGUUCCUUCUGGGGACUGAAUAGUAUAACUACGAGGUUCGUUUUCUGUUUGUUUUAUACGACCUGGAACCCAUGAACUAUUGGGCUUGUGUUUGAAAUAUAUUUUAUCACCAACUUGUAAAUCUGACAAUUGUUUUGUGUGUUUAUUAUAAUAAAACGUUGAAUAUUC